GACGAACGCUGGCGGCGUGCUUAACACAUGCAAGUCGAACGAUGAAGCCGGAGCUUGCUCUGGUGAAUUAGUGGCGAACGGGUGAGUAACACGUGAGUAACCUGCCCUUGACUCUGGGAUAACUGCUAGAAAUGGUAGCUAAUACCGGAUACGACCCUCGGAGGCAUCUCCAGGGGGUGGAAAGAAUUUCGGUCAAGGAUGGACUCGCGGCCGAUCAGCUAGUUGGUGAGGUAAUGGCUCACCAAGGCGACGGCGGGUAGCCGGCCUGAGAGGGUGACCGGCCACACUGGGACUGAGACACGGCCCAGACUCCUACGGGAGGCAGCAGUGGGGAAUAGUGCACAAUGGGCGCAAGCCUGAUGCAGCAACGCCGCGUGAGGGAUGACGGACUUCGGGUUGUAAACCUCUUUUAGUAGGGAAGAGGCGAAAGUGACGGUACCUGCAGAAAAAGCACCGGCUAACUACGUGCCAGCCGCCGCAGUAA
RNAcentral lists this ribosomal RNA (484 nucleotides) under uncultured bacterium. RNAcentral's name for it is "partial 16S ribosomal RNA". It matches the Rfam family "Bacterial small subunit ribosomal RNA", at positions 28 to 523 of the family's 1533-position model. The record is from RNAcentral.